Molecule: ribosomal RNA, 425 nt
Filed under: uncultured bacterium
Lineage: Bacteria
Description: partial 16S ribosomal RNA
Rfam family: Bacterial small subunit ribosomal RNA
Source: RNAcentral
GUUAGGAAUAUUGGACAAUGGGCGCAAGCCUGAUCCAGCCAUGCCGCGUGAGUGAUGAAGGCCUUCGGGUUGUAAAGCUCUUUAGUCCACGAAUAUAAUGACUGUAGUGGAAGAAUAAGCCCCGGCUAACUUCGUGCCAGCAGCCGCGGUAAUACGAAGGGGGCGAGCGUUAUUCGGAAUCACUGGGCGUAAAGCGUGCGUAGGCUGUUUUGUAAGUCAGAAGUGAAAGCCCAGGGCUGAACCCUGGAAUUGCUUUUGAAACUACAAGACUCGAAUUCGGGAGAGGAUAGCGGAAUUGUCAGUGUAGCAGUGAAAUGCGUAGAUAUUGACAGGAACACCAGUGGCGCAAGCGGCUAUCUGGACCGAUAUUGACGCUGAGGCACGAAAGCGUGGGGAGCAAACAGGAUUAGAAACCCCGGUAGUCC